UACGUAGGGAGCAAGCGUUGUCCGGAAUCAUUGGGCGUAAAGCGCGCGUAGGCGGCCUCGUAAGUCCGUUGUGAAAGUCAAAGGCUCAACCUUUGAAAGCCGAUGGAUACUGUGAGGCUAGAGUCCGGAAGAGGCGAGUGGAAUUCCUGGUGUAGCGGUGGAAUGCGCAGAGAUCGGGAAGAACAUCAGUGGCGAAGGCGGUCUGCUGGGCCGUUGCUGACGCUGAUGCGCGACAGCGUGGGGAGCAAACAGG
RNAcentral lists this ribosomal RNA (253 nucleotides) under uncultured bacterium. RNAcentral's name for it is "partial 16S ribosomal RNA". It matches the Rfam family "Bacterial small subunit ribosomal RNA", at positions 524 to 776 of the family's 1533-position model. The record is from RNAcentral.